CCUACGGGGGGCUGCAGUCGAGAAUUUUUGGCAAUGGGCGAAAGCCUGACCAAGCGAUGCCGCGUGCGGGAUGAAGGCCUUCGGGUUGUAAACCGCUGUCAGUGGGGAGGAAAGCUUUGUGAAGAGCAAGGCUUGACCUAUCCGCAGAGGAAGUGUGGGCUAAGUUCGUGCCAGCAGCCGCGGUAAGACGAACCACACAAACGUUAUUCGGAAUUACUGGGCUUAAAGGGUGCGUAGGCUGCGCAGUAAGUUGGGUGUGAAAUACCUCGGCUCAA
RNAcentral lists this ribosomal RNA (275 nucleotides) under uncultured bacterium. RNAcentral describes it as "partial 16S ribosomal RNA". It matches the Rfam family "Bacterial small subunit ribosomal RNA", at positions 338 to 612 of the family's 1533-position model. The record is from RNAcentral.